This 164-nucleotide ribosomal RNA is filed under the name Acer buergerianum var. formosanum. RNAcentral's name for it is "5.8S ribosomal RNA". It matches the Rfam family "5.8S ribosomal RNA". From Rfam's summary of the family: 5.8S ribosomal RNA (5.8S rRNA) is a component of the large subunit of the eukaryotic ribosome. The record is from RNAcentral. Lineage: Eukaryota; Viridiplantae; Streptophyta; Magnoliopsida; Sapindales; Sapindaceae.
AAAACGACUCUCGGCAACGGAUAUCUCGGCUCUCGCAUCGAUGAGGAACGUAGCGAAAUGCGAUACUUGGUGUGAAUUGCAGAAUCCCGUGAACCAUCGAGUCUUUGAACGCAAGUUGCGCCCCAAGCCGUUAGGCCGAGGGCACGCCUGCCUGGGUGUCACGC